GCCAGGCGCAGUGGCACAUGCCAGUAAUCCUAGCUCUCAGGAGGCUGAGGCAGGAGGAUUACAGGUGUGAGGCUAGUCUGAGCAACAUAGUGAGACUCUGUCUCAA
Molecule: small RNA, 106 nt
Filed under: Marmota monax (woodchuck)
Lineage: Eukaryota; Metazoa; Chordata; Mammalia; Rodentia; Sciuridae
Source: RNAcentral